AGUAAAUCAAACCCCCAAAAACUUUCUCCACCGAACUUCACCUGUAACCUCUACCAUUUAGAGGAAUUUCCAUUUCUGUGAGGUUCCCAAGAUUUGCUAAAUCUACCAGCCUGAUUCUCUCUCUGCACCAUGUGGCUGCUGCAGGAAACUGGUGAGGGAUGGUGUCGACAAUUCAAGACUGUUUUUUCCUACCCUCUUCAGUGCCUCUUUCCCUGAUGUGAUGUUAAAACCAGCUGAAAUUGUGGAGCAGAAAUUGUGGAGAAGAUAAAAGCCAUGUCCCC
This is a long non-coding RNA of Symphalangus syndactylus (siamang), 281 nucleotides long. RefSeq lists it as uncharacterized. The record is from RefSeq and is a predicted model, not a curated record. Lineage: Eukaryota; Metazoa; Chordata; Mammalia; Primates; Hylobatidae.